CUACGGGUUGCACCAGUGGGGAAUAUUGCACAAUGGGGGAAACCCUGAUGCAGCAACGCCGCGUGGAGGAUGACGCAUUUCGGUGUGUAAACUCCUUUUAUAUAGGAAGAUAAUGACGGUACUAUAUGAAUAAGCACCGGCUAACUCCGUGCCAGCAGCCGCGGUAAUACGGAGGGUGCAAGCGUUACUCGGAAUCACUGGGCCUAAAGCGCGCGCAGGCGGCCUUUUAAGUUGGAUGUGAAAGCCUACGGCUCAACCGUAGAACUGCAUCCAAAACUACUAGGCUAGAGUCUGGGAGGGGAAGAUGGAAUUAGUUGUGUAGGGGUAAAAUCCGUAGAGAUAACUAGGAAUACCAAAAGCGAAGGCAAUCUUCUGGAACAGUACUGACGCUGAGGCGCGAAAGCGUGGGGAGCAAACAGGAUUAGAUACCCCUGUAGUC
Molecule: ribosomal RNA, 439 nt
Filed under: uncultured bacterium
Lineage: Bacteria
Description: partial 16S ribosomal RNA
Rfam family: Bacterial small subunit ribosomal RNA
Source: RNAcentral